This 424-nucleotide ribosomal RNA is filed under the name uncultured bacterium. Its description in RNAcentral is "bacterial SSU rRNA". It matches the Rfam family "Bacterial small subunit ribosomal RNA", at positions 356 to 773 of the family's 1533-position model. The record is from RNAcentral.
AGGGAAUCUUCCGCAAUGGACGAAAGUCUGACGGAGCAACGCCGCGUGAGUGAUGAAGGUUUUCGGAUCGUAAAGCUCUGUUGCCAGGGAAGAACGUCUUCUGGAGUAACUGCCAGGAGAGUGACGGUACCUGAGAAGAAAGCCCCGGCUAACUACGUGCCAGCAGCCGCGGUAAUACGUAGGGGGCAAGCGUUGUCCGGAAUCAUUGGGCGUAAAGCGCGCGCAGGCGGCUGUUUAAGUCUGGUGUUUAAUCCUGGGGCUCAACCCCGGGUCGCACUGGAAACUGGACGGCUUGAGUGCAGAAGAGGAGAGUGGAAUUCCACGUGUAGCGGUGAAAUGCGUAGAGAUGUGGAGGAACACCAGUGGCGAAGGCGACUCUCUGGGCUGUAACUGACGCUGAGGCACGAAAGCGUGGGUAGCAAAC